UACGGAGGGUGCGAACGUUAAUCGGAAUCACUGGGCGUAAAGCGCGCGUAGGCGGUUCGUUAAGUGGGAUGUGAAAUCCCCGGGCUUAACCUGGGAAUUGCAUUUCAAACUGGCCGACUAGAGUACGGUAGAGAGAGGUAGAAUUUCCUGUGUAGCGGUGAAAUGCGUAGAUAUAGGAAGGAAUACCAGUGGCGAAGGCGGCCUCCUGGAUCGAUACUGACGCUGAGGCGCGAAAGCGUGGGGAGCAAACAGG
RNAcentral lists this ribosomal RNA (253 nucleotides) under uncultured bacterium. Its description in RNAcentral is "partial 16S ribosomal RNA". It matches the Rfam family "Bacterial small subunit ribosomal RNA", at positions 524 to 776 of the family's 1533-position model. The record is from RNAcentral.